This 515-nucleotide ribosomal RNA is filed under the name uncultured bacterium. RNAcentral describes it as "partial 16S ribosomal RNA". It matches the Rfam family "Bacterial small subunit ribosomal RNA", at positions 28 to 523 of the family's 1533-position model. The record is from RNAcentral.
GAUGAACGCUGGCGGCGUGCCUAAUACAUGCAAGUCGAGCGAAUGGAUUAAGAGCUUGCUCUUAUGAAGUUAGCGGCGGACGGGUGAGUAACACGUGGGUAACCUGCCCAUAAGACUGGGAUAACUCCGGGAAACCGGGGCUAAUACCGGAUAACAUUUUGAACCGCAUGGUUCGAAAUUGAAAGGCGGCUUCGGCUGUCACUUAUGGAUGGACCCGCGUCGCAUUAGCUAGUUGGUGAGGUAACGGCUCACCAAGGCAACGAUGCGUAGCCGACCGGGGAGGGUGAUCGGCCACACUGGGACUGAGACGCGGCCCAGACUCCUACGUGAGGCAGCAGUAGGGAAUCUUCCGCAAUGGACGACAGUCUGACGGAGCAACGCCGCGUGAGUGAUGAAGGCUUUCGGGUCGUAAAACUCUGUUGUUAGGGAAGAACAAGUGCUAGUUGAAUAAGCUGGCACCUUGACGGUACCUAACCAGAAAGCCACGGCUAACUACGUGCCAGCAGCCGCCGUAA